UACGUAGGGUGCAAGCGUUAAUCGGAAUUACUGGGCGUAAAGCGUGCGCAGGCGGUUUUUUAAGCUUGAUGUGAAAUCCCCGGGCUUAACCUGGGAACUGCAUUGAGGACUGGAAGGCUAGAGUACGGCAGAGGGGGGUGGAAUUCCACGUGUAGCAGUGAAAUGCGUAGAGAUGUGGAGGAACACCGAUGGCGAAGGCAGCCCCCUGGGUCAAGACUGACGCUCAUGCACGAAAGCGUGGGGAGCAAACAGG
RNAcentral lists this ribosomal RNA (253 nucleotides) under uncultured bacterium. RNAcentral's name for it is "partial 16S ribosomal RNA". It matches the Rfam family "Bacterial small subunit ribosomal RNA", at positions 524 to 776 of the family's 1533-position model. The record is from RNAcentral.